AAAAAGACAAACUCUGGGUUUUAUUUGUCCAACUUUAACUGUUCGUUUUAUAUGAAAAUUUUUUAUAAUUUGUAUUUUUAUUGUUGUUAGAUGAUAAAACAUGAUUAAUAUUUUAUGCGUGAUUUGUCUUUUUAAUUUUUAUAUAAUUCAAAUAAGACGGAUGGUCAAACAUUAGACACGGAAGCCAGGGUUUGUCUUUUC
Molecule: non-coding RNA, 201 nt
Organism: Oryza barthii
Lineage: Eukaryota; Viridiplantae; Streptophyta; Magnoliopsida; Poales; Poaceae
Source: Rfam